This 831-nucleotide ribosomal RNA is filed under the name uncultured bacterium. RNAcentral describes it as "bacterial SSU rRNA". It matches the Rfam family "Bacterial small subunit ribosomal RNA", at positions 9 to 849 of the family's 1533-position model. The record is from RNAcentral.
GAGUUUGAUCCUGGCUCAGGACGAACGCUGGCGGCGUGCUUAACACAUGCAAGUCGAGCGGUAAGGCCCUUUCGGGGGUACACGAGCGGCGAACGGGUGAGUAACACGUGGGUAACCUGCCCUCAGCUCUGGGAUAAGCCCGGGAAACUGGGUCUAAUACCGGAUAUGACUCCGCAUCGCAUGGUGUGGGGUGGAAAGCCUUGUGCGGCUGAGGAUGGGCCCGCGGCCUAUCAGCUUGUUGGUGGGGUAGUGGCCUACCAAGGCGACGACGGGUAGCCGGCCUGAGAGGGCGACCGGCCACACUGGGACUGAGACACGGCCCAGACUCCUACGGGAGGCAGCAGUGGGGAAUAUUGCGCAAUGGGCGAAAGCCUGACGCAGCGACGCCGCGUGAGGGAUGACGGCCUUCGGGUUGUAAACCUCUUUCAGCUCCGACGAAGCCUUCGGGUGACGGUAGGGGCAGAAGAAGCACCGGCCAACUACGUGCCAGCAGCCGCGGUAAUACGUAGGGUGCAAGCGUUGUCCGGAAUUAUUGGGCGUAAAGAGCUCGUAGGCGGUUUGUCGCGUCGACUGUGAAAACUCAGGGGCUCAACUCCGAGCUUGCAGUUGAUACGGGCAGACUAGAGUUCGGCAGGGGAGACUGGAAUUCCUGGUGUAGCGGUGAAAUGCGCAGAUAUCAGGAGGAACACCGGUGGCGAAGGCGGGUCUCUGGGCCGAUACUGACGCUGAGGAGCGAAAGCGUGGGGAGCGAACAGGAUUAGAUACCCUGGUAGUCCACGCCGUAAACGUUGGGCGCUAGGUGUGGGGUCCCUUUCACGGGUUCCGUGCCGC